Molecule: ribosomal RNA, 253 nt
Filed under: uncultured bacterium
Lineage: Bacteria
Description: partial 16S ribosomal RNA
Rfam family: Bacterial small subunit ribosomal RNA
Source: RNAcentral
UACGUAGGUGGCAAGCGUUGUCCGGAUUUACUGGGCGUAAAGAGCGCGCAGGCGGUAUGACAAGUCAGAUGUGAAAGAGGCCGGCUUAACCGGCAAGGGUCAUUUGAAACUGUCAGACUAGAGUGCAGCAGAGGAUAGUGGAAUUCCCGGUGUAGUGGUGAAAUGCGCAGAUAUCAGGAGGAACACCGGUGGCGAAGGCGGGUCUCUGGGCCGAAACUGACGCUGAGGAGCGAAAGCGUGGGGAGCGAACAGG